AUAUUUAAUAUCUAAAUAACUAGCUAGUUCAGCUUUCUGAAAUUUUUACAGUAAAUUUAUAUCACUAAUUUGAACUUCUCUACAAAGUUUCAUGAAAAUCUGUUCAUUUUGAUUUAGCAGCGGAACUCCCUUAAACGAGCAAGUACAUUGUUUCAAAAAUUUAACAGUAUUUUUCUGGCUAAGCUGUAUCGUUGUAAAGUUUCACUAACAUCUGUUCAUUAUUUCUACGUUUAAUAUGGCGAUAAAAACAAAAAAAAAUCAAUUCCCAUAAGAGUCCAUAUAAAUAAAAUAUUUAAUAUCUAAAUAACUAGCAGUUCAGUUUUCUGGAAUUUUGAUAAUCAAUUUAUACCACUAAUUUGAACUUCUCUACAAAGUUUAUCUCUACAAACUAAAUUUAUUAUUGUAGAUCUAUUUAAUAACCUACAACUUUUAUUUGAAACUUUUUGAAUUCUGUUUUUAGUUUACGAGGCGCAAGCCAAAAUUGUUUUUUUCUUAUUUUAACCCGUAAUUUUUGCAAUAAGUCUCAGCUUUUUGCGAGUGGCAAAUGUACCUACUUAAUCCACGCAUAUUAAUUGUGCUUGACGCAUUUCAAACUUGUUAUCAAUUUUUUUCCAAAAAAGUAAUUCUACUAGACUAUGAUAGCUACUCUUACAACACGAAGUAAGCGCAGCAAAAGAACAAAUCGGUAUCGCGGAAAAAAGGCAACAAUAAACUUCGAUACAUUCGAUAUAUGCAAGUAUCGAUGUUACAUGCAUUUUUUAAAAAAGGAUACGGAGGGGAAAAGCAAAAUCAAAAAGUGAUUUUUCUCGAAAAUGGGUUAACCAAUUUUGAUGAAAAAAAAUGUUAUGAACAUCGAUAAGACUAUUUUUUUUUAUUUUGACAAAUAUAUGGAUUAAAAAAUUCUGGAAUUUUUAUAAAAAAUUUUUCAAGGUUAUGUUUUAGAGAUACACCUCCAUUUUUUUCAAAAAACCUCAAAGUGAUUACUUUAACAUAUUUUUUUCUUAAAAUUUUCAUGGAAGUACUUCAUGGCAAGAAAUGAUAGAAAUCGGCAUCUCGCCUUCACAGCACACUUACUCCAGCCGCAUACAUCGAAUGUACUAGCCUAGUUUUUGUGUCGGAUUUUUACAUUCUAUACAAAGUUAAUGAAAGUGUAGAUUUUAUUUUUAUUUGUAUUUUAUAUUUAUCUUAUGCGCUUAUUUUUUAUCGAAAUAAUUAUUAAAUUUGUGUCUCUUCACUUUUGACAAAAUAGGUAUUUUUUAAAUGAAUUUCCUUGCCUCUCGGUAAAGAUGGAUACUUGAAGAUGAAGAAAAAUUUUUACUCACGAAAAUUCACUAGGUAGUUAAAUCUAUUCACAGUGUGCUGAAACAAAAAUAUUGCUUUUUGGAUCAUAAAAUUGACAACAAGUCAAUACCGAAAAUUAGAAUUUAUUUCAGAAUCGCGUCGUUUCUCAACACUUUUGGAAAAAUGUUUUAUUCUGAUGUGGAUACUUUUUGAUGACAGUCUACAAAGAAUGUACAAAGAAUUGCGCAUGUGUACAAGUGCAAAGGCCACUUUUUGCACUUGUAUGCAUGCACGAACGAGAAAAGUAUGACCUAAAGCAUGUUAACCUUUUUCCUCUGAACCUUAAUCCUACUCCCGCAAUGCUCAGUCUAGAUAUACUAUGUCUAUGGUGUCAACUUGUAAAAAGAGACGCUGAGCAAGUAAAAAAGAGCAUUCUCACUCCCCUUACCGAAUGUUCAGCUCCCUCACCUGUUAGAGUACCUUAUACCAUAUAUUCUUUCGUACAAUGCUCAGUUUAGAUAUAUUUUGUCUAUGGUUGACACCGUCGGCAUCAACGAACGUAACCAAAGAUAUCCGAACUUUGAAAGUUGCGUUAUAGCUUAUGCAUAAUAAUUUUUCAAAGAUUGCAAAUUGUUUAGUUUUUGAUAUAUUAAUUAUUUAAUUGUUUAAUUUUUUUGUCUACUUUUAUAAAGUUAAUGAUUCGAAGUAAUUCGCAUUUCAUACUUUAAUUCGAGACUUGGCGGAUAUGAAGUAUAUCUAGUUUCAGGAAUCGUCAAGUAUGUGGCGGAAACAGCCGACGGUGUCAACUGGUAAAAAAAGAUAACGCUACACUCCCUCAAGGUUUGUUAAUGAACGACGGGAGAGGAAGGAAGGUCUUGCCACUCAUAUUUAGUCUUUUGGCCCCAAAAUGGCCGGGGCCAAUACGAUGUAUCAAUUCCACCUUCCCCUUACUACUACUCACUCACUCUUCUCGUACAACAAACACUACACAUAUGACUCCAUACACUUUAUGACUCCAAAAUGGCACUCAUGCGAUGACCUUCCUUUCUCUCCCGUCGUUCAUCUACAGACCUUGCACGCCCCUUACCGCAAAUUUCACAACCCCUCUGCUUUGUGCGGUGUCCAUAUAUUCUUUUGUCCAUGGAGACACUAAAAUCAUAUAUGUAAUAAGACUAUUGCUAGUUGAGCUGAAAAGAAAGUGAAAACAUUACGAAGCUACUUGGUGUACCUUGACAGUUUUGCGCACGCGCAAGUCGCUCCCGCUACCGCGCACCCCGCGGAUUCCUACUACUAUGUGCCACGCUUGCGCACAACGAUGUAGGUACACGAUUUUUAUUGUAUCUCUCUUUAAUUUUACCCACUCCUUCUAUGAGAUAAGCCCAACGCUAGUAAUAUAUGAGUAUUAUAUAUAUGACCGAAAUAUAUUCCAACCAGUGCUGCCAGAAAUGAAACUUUGAUACCAAUCAUAUAGCAAUAAAGACCAAAAGUCAAUACAGGCCGAUUUUAAAUGUCCUCAAGUGCCCUCAUGAUAUGGCGUGGACAUGUACUAUGUAGCCAAUGUUCAUGUUAAGGCCAAGAAUAACGCAUAUGUAUAUAAUUUUGGUUGCAUUGCCCGUGCUACGAAACGUGCACGAAUGUCCGUGCGAUAACACAAAAUUAUACAAAAUAAUUUCGAGAUUCAAUGAUCGAAUUUUUUUUUGCACGCUGUUGUAAUUUACACACACCAAAAGCAGUACACACACAGUAAUAACUACAGAUAUGACCCAUAUUACGACGUGUGCUAAUACAACUCAGUGAACUAAAAAUGACUGAUCAUGCGAAGACUACUUAACGCCAUCUCUCUAUCGACGGACCUUGGUUCGGUCUCCUGAUUCUAGUCUUCAUAACAGGCCUGCUCAUCUCAAGAGAGGGGGUGUAGACGCACGUAGAAAAGGAUAAGAUAUACGUUGAAAAAGGCAAACGAUUUAAGUGGAAAACUCUGCUUUUUCUCUCCUUGCAUCGAACAAGUUCAACGUACUUACGCAAAACUGAUUCGCAAAGGAUUUAUAGAAUUACAUACAUACGAAUGCUUGCAAAAA
This 3359-nucleotide long non-coding RNA is filed under the name Monomorium pharaonis (pharaoh ant). RNAcentral's name for it is "uncharacterized LOC118646010". Lineage: Eukaryota; Metazoa; Arthropoda; Insecta; Hymenoptera; Formicidae. The record is from RNAcentral.